RNAcentral lists this long non-coding RNA (2610 nucleotides) under Schizosaccharomyces pombe (fission yeast). The record is from RNAcentral. Lineage: Eukaryota; Fungi; Ascomycota; Schizosaccharomycetes; Schizosaccharomycetales; Schizosaccharomycetaceae.
GAAAUACAAACGCUCACACUCGUCAAAGUCAGUAGAAACAGUUUCAGGAUUAUAAUUAACCAUAAUGGUGCUAUGACCAAGUUUUCUAAGAGUACGAGCACAAGAGACACCGCACCAAUCAAACUCAACACUUGAACCAAUACGGUAGACACCAGAUCCAAGAACCAUAGUUCCAUGUUCAUUAAAAUCUAUGUCAUGAGAGGAUGCGUUGUAGCUAGUGUACAAGUAGUUCGUAUGUGCCGGGAAUUCUGCUGCGAGGGUAUCGAUCUUCUUAACCCAGGGAUGAACAUCAAGACGUUUUCUACGAGCGCGAACGUCUAAUUCAGAAGCUCCGACAAGCUUGGAGAUUUGAAGAUCAGAGAAACCAGUCUUUUUAGCACGCAACAUGAUUUCUUUAUUAAGUCCAUACAAAGAACCAAUUUCUUCCAACUCUUUGUAAACCUUAGCCAUAUUCGCGAGUUUGCUCAAGAACCAUUUGUCAAUCUUGGUCAAAUCAUGAAUUUUAUCAAUAGAAUAGCCUUGGUUAAGCAUUGCCUCAACAACAGCAAAGAAGCGACGAUCGGUGGGUACACUGAGGGCAUUGUCUAAAUCCUUGAAGGGCAUGGCCAUAAAACCCAAAAAGGAGGGAUCGACUUGACGCAAUGCCUUUUGAAGAGAUUCCUCAAAAGUACGACCAACGGCCAUAACUUCACCGACACUUUUCAUGGAAGAUCCAAUUUCGCGAUUGACGUAUUGGAACUUGCUCAAAUCCCAACGGGGAAUCUUAGUAACAACAUAAUCCAAAGAGGGUUCAAAGUUAGCAGUGGUAGUUUUAGUAACAGCAUUGGGAAGUUCAGGAAGAGUGUGACCUAAAGCAAUUUUUGCAGCGGUGUAUGCCAAUGGGUAACCGGUGGCCUUAGAGGCCAAAGCAGAAGAACGAGAAAGACGAGCAUUUACCUCGAUAACACGAUAUUCCAAACUGUUGGGACUCAACGCAUAUUGCACGUUACACUCACCGACAACACCUAAGUGACGGAUAAUCUUAAUGGCAGCAGUACGGAGCAUAUGAUAUUCUUCAUCAGAAAGGGUUUGAGAGGGGGCAACGACGAUGGAAUCACCAGUAUGGAUACCAAGAGGAUCAAAGUUUUCCAUGUUACAGACGGUAAUGCAAUUGUUAGCAGCAUCACGAACAACUUCGUAUUCAACCUCUUUCCAGCCUUUCAAUGAUUUUUCAACCAAAAUUUGGGGGGUUAAAGACAAUGACUUAGCAGCCAUCGAUUGCAAUUCCUCCUUAUUGUUUGCAAAACCAGAGCCAAGACCUCCAAGGGAAUACGCUGAACGGAUGAUAACAGGGUAACUAACCUUUUCGGCAGCCUGAAGAGCUUCAUCGACGGUAGAAACUGCAACUGAUUCAGCAAUAGGAAUAUUGAUCUCGUUCAAAGCCUUGGCAAAUAAAUCACGAUCUUCGGAAGUUUUAAGAGUGGAAAUUGGAGUACCCAACACCUUGACAUGAUUACGGGCAAAGACACCCAUGUCGUCCAAUUGGAUACCUACAUUAAGGGCAGUUUGACCACCGAAUGUAAGGAGAAUGCCAUCAGGGUUUUCACGUUCAAUGAGGUGGGUAAGGUAUUCAGCAGUGACAGGCAAGAAGUAGAUCUCAUCAGCUAAGCUAUGAGAGGAUUGGAUAGUAGCAAUGUUAGGAUUGAUAAGAAUAGUAUGGACAGAGCUUUCGCGCAAAGCUUUAAUAGCUUGAGCGCCCGAAUAAUCGAAUUCACCGGCUUGGCCAAUGGAUAAACCACCAGAGCCGACUACAACGACUUUCUUAACUUUCUCAUGCUCGGCGGCCUUAAUAUGACCAGAGCGGAUAUAAGCAUUGGCAUCUGGGGUAUUACUUUCUUUAACCUUAUCGUUAAAGUUUGUGGCACUGGCGGAAAUUUUGCGAUGUGGAACACCGGACCAUUGAGGAAGCAAGUGUUUACUCAAUUGAGAUACACCAGCAGUUUCAAGAACUCUGUUAGACCCAAGAAAGGCUUUAGAAAUGCCAGGAAUGGCACGACGCAUUGACGUAGCCCACAAUGCCAUUUUCACCUGCAAUCCAAGCUACUUUUUUCAAUUACUUACUAUGAAACAAGCAGAGAUGCUGGUUCGAAUGGAGCAGCUGGAUUAGUUUUUAAAAAAUAGAACAAGGGGUGUUUGCAAAAGCUAAGAGAACAAACUCUUCUUAAGCUGAAAUUUGUGACUUGCUUCUAUUGAUCUUUGAUCUUAACUCUCACAGUACUGAUAAUGAUGAUAAGGAGAUAAAUGUAAUGCAGCAAGUUUUUCGAUAUGGAAAGAUUCGUGGUAGAUAGCCAACUUCGAUAUAUAAUAAUUAAGGAAUCCUAUGAAAAAUGCCUUAACUUACAAUUAACGAUCAGGAAUUUUUGGAGUAUACAUAUAGUAUUAACGAAAAAAUAUUGGUUAAUGGAUUUGCUUUAAGCAAGGGUGUUUAAAUCUGGUAAAGGCAGUAAAUGCAGGAUUAUUACUAUCGAUAGUUGAGCUCAGUUUAAAUGUUUUAAAUGAUACAACAAUUCGUAUAAUUAAUAACAGCCCAUUCUUUACAACUGAUAAUGAGAUGUGGGAUUACUUUUUUCU